CAAGCGGUGGAGCAUGUGGUUUAAUUCGAUGCAACGCGAAGAACCUUACCUGGCCUUGACAUCCACGGAAUUUGGCAGAGAUGCCUUAGUGCCUUCGGGAACCGUGAGACAGGUGCUGCAUGGCUGUCGUCAGCUCGUGUUGUGAAAUGUUGGGUUAAGUCCCGCAACGAGCGCAACCCUUAUCCUUUGUUGCCAGCACGUAAUGGUGGGAACUCAAAGGAGACUGCCGGUGAUAAACCGGAGGAAGGUGGGGAUGACGUCAAGUCAUCAUGGCCCUUACGGCCAGGGCUACACACGUGCUACAAUGGCGCAUACAAAGAGAAGCGACCUCGCGAGAGCAAGCGGACCUCAUAAAGUGCGUCGUAGUCCGGAUCGGAGUCUGCAACUCGACUCCGUGAAGUCGGAAUCGCUAGUAAUCGUAGAUCAGAAUGCUACGGUGAAUACGUUCCCGGGCCUUGUACACACC
RNAcentral lists this ribosomal RNA (466 nucleotides) under uncultured bacterium. RNAcentral describes it as "bacterial SSU rRNA". It matches the Rfam family "Bacterial small subunit ribosomal RNA", at positions 926 to 1391 of the family's 1533-position model. The record is from RNAcentral.